GACGAACGCUGGCGGCGUGCUUAACACAUGCAAGUCGAACGGUGAAGCGCCUUCCUUUUUGGUGGGUGUGGAUGAGUGGCGAACGGGUGAGUAACACGUGAGUAACCUGCCCCCUUCUUCUGGAUAACCGCAUGAAAGUGUGGCUAAUACGGGAUAUUCUGGGUCUGUCGCAUGAUGGGUCUGGGAAAGAUAUUGUUUCGGUGGGGGAUGGGCUCGCGGCCUAUCAGCUUGUUGGUGGGGUGAUGGCCUACCAAGGCGGUGACGGGUAGCCGGCCUGAGAGGGUGGACGGUCACACUGGGACUGAGACACGGCCCAGACUCCUACGGGAGGCAGCAGUGGGGAAUAUUGCACAAUGGGCGCAAGUCUGAUGCAGCGACGCCGCGUGAGGGAUGGAGGCCUUCGGGUUGUGAACCUCUUUCGCCAGUGAAGCAGGCCUGCCUCGUUUGUGGGUGGGUUGACAGUAGCUGGAUAAGAAGCGCCGGCUAACUACGUG
Molecule: ribosomal RNA, 494 nt
Filed under: uncultured bacterium
Lineage: Bacteria
Description: partial 16S ribosomal RNA
Rfam family: Bacterial small subunit ribosomal RNA
Source: RNAcentral